This 285-nucleotide long non-coding RNA is filed under the name Nicotiana benthamiana. RNAcentral describes it as "long non-coding RNA (NBEN_LNC030080)". The record is from RNAcentral. Lineage: Eukaryota; Viridiplantae; Streptophyta; Magnoliopsida; Solanales; Solanaceae.
UUAAUUUUGCUCUUUAGAUAUUUGAGGCAAUUCUUGAAUGAAUUAGGCAUUUUUAGAUUUUUACUAUUGUUUUGGGUUUAAUUUCCCGAGUAUGAAAUAGUUGGGGACUUGCUUGCGAGUUCUCUUCUUCUCAUUUUGUGUUCCUCUUUGAUGGCAUGCUAGGGCUUUGUUGCACUGAAAGUUCAAUUAGUCUAUCGACUUUGCUUUUUGAUGGGACCGUGCGUACCCUCACUCCAACCCCGCAUUAGUAUGAUAUUGUCCGCACGAAUUUGUUUUUGAGCAUCU